Long non-coding RNA from Diuraphis noxia (Russian wheat aphid), 843 nucleotides. RefSeq lists it as uncharacterized. Lineage: Eukaryota; Metazoa; Arthropoda; Insecta; Hemiptera; Aphididae. The record is from RefSeq and is a predicted model, not a curated record.
AUUCACCCUAUAUAAUUUUAUAAUAUGUUAUAUUAUUCAUAUUAUUGGAUUUUUGUUAUUUAUCUUAUCUUAAAAUGUCUACACAUUGCCCAUGGCCUUCGAUGACGACGAUCACAAUUACAAUUGUUGCAAUAAAGUUUUAAUCAGUUCUCAUCUGGCAACACAGCUCCCAGUAAAUUAAUAAGAAAUUUUUCCAAAGCGCGAAUUCAUACAGGAGCAAAUGACUACACAGUCAUAAAAACUAUCAAUGAACUCAUGACUCUGAAGCAUCAAAAAUCGAAGCAGAUGUCACUGUAACAAAUCUAAAAAGAAAAGCUACUAAAUGUAUGGAGCCUAUGUCUACUUUGUUUAACAUGUGUAUUGCUCCAUUGUGUAAAGCAGCCAAAGCAAACAACAUUACAAAAUAGUGCUGCAUUAAAAAAACAAGUUUGACRCAAAAUACAAGAAAUUCUAGCUGUACCACAAAAUUCGGAAAAUUUAACCACAUAUUAGAAAUACCAGCUUCAUAUUGUAUGUACACUUCAUCAACAGGAAAUGAGGAACUAUUUUUGCAAGAUGAUAGUGGUCCGAGUCCAAUUUUUGGUGAUUACCGAAGCCUUGAUAUACUACAGAACUCUAAAAUAUGGUAGUGAAGUGAACUAGCAAGAAUUGGAGGAAUACCAAUAGAAAAUAUUGUGAUAUAUACAAGAUGUUUACUAUUUUACUUGAAUUUAUAUAUUAUGGUUUAAGAAUAAAGGAUAAUUUUUUUAUUAUUGGCAAUAAAUUAGAUAGUAGUUGGUGAGUUUUAUAUUUGUUAAUUUUUAUUCUAUAUUAACUCUGAAAUGGAGUGAAUGUUUAUUUAUA